Molecule: ribosomal RNA, 531 nt
Filed under: Ariomma indica (Indian ariomma)
Lineage: Eukaryota; Metazoa; Chordata; Actinopteri; Scombriformes; Ariommatidae
Description: partial 16S ribosomal RNA
Rfam family: Bacterial large subunit ribosomal RNA
Source: RNAcentral
CGCCUCUUGCAAAAUGAAAGAAUAAGAGGUCCAGCCUGCCCUGUGACUAUAUGUUUAACGGCCGCGGUAUUUUAACCGUGCGAAGGUAGCGCAAUCACUUGUCUCUUAAAUGGGGACCUGUAUGAAUGGCAUAACGAGGGCUUAACUGUCUCCUUUUUCAGGUCAAUGAAAUUGAUCUCCCCGUGCAGAAGCGGGGAUAAAUCCAUAAGACGAGAAGACCCUAUGGAGCUUUAGACACCAAAGCAUAUCAUGCCAAGCACCCCAAAACAAAGGGUUUUAAGCCAAAUGAAUUUAUGCUCCUAUGUCUUUGGUUGGGGCGACCGAGGGGAAAUAAAAAACCCCCAUGUGGAAUGGGAGCACUGACCCUCCCACAACUAAGAGGUGCACCUCUAAUGAGCAGAAUUUCUGACCAAUAAUGAUCCGGCAACGCCGAUCAACGGACCGAGUUACCCUAGGGAUAACAGCGCAAUCCCCUUUUAGAGCCCAUAUCGACAAGGGGGUUUACGACCUCGAUGUUGGAUCAGGACAUCC